GUAAAUCUGCGGUGUACGGAGUUCGGAUUGAUCGUAAUCCACAUUAAUAAAUAGGGAGCGUGUAUUCGGGGCGAUAGGCAAGGUCUGUAUUUAUACGGAAAGUCCGAAGCGUUCAGAUGCCGCACCCACCUGCUGAAAGCGGGUUAGCUUUUAUCCGAAAUGCGGCACAGGCGGAUUUAUU
This 181-nucleotide non-coding RNA is filed under the name Clostridiales bacterium. RNAcentral describes it as "6S RNA". It matches the Rfam family "6S / SsrS RNA". From Rfam's summary of the family: E. coli 6S RNA was the first non coding RNA to be sequenced, but its function was unknown until recently. It consists of 184 nucleotides that fold into an extended hairpin structure with a large single-stranded internal bulge. The record is from RNAcentral. RNAcentral also lists the same sequence under 2 other names. Lineage: Bacteria; Bacillati; Bacillota; Clostridia; Eubacteriales.